This 468-nucleotide ribosomal RNA is filed under the name uncultured bacterium. Its description in RNAcentral is "partial 16S ribosomal RNA". It matches the Rfam family "Bacterial small subunit ribosomal RNA", at positions 28 to 507 of the family's 1533-position model. The record is from RNAcentral.
GACGAACGCUGGCGGCGUGCUUAACACAUGCAAGUCGAACGGAAAGGCCCUGCUUUUGUGGGGUGCUCGAGUGGCGAACGGGUGAGUAACACGUGAGUAACCUGCCUCUGACUUUGGGAUAACUUCAGGAAACUGGGGCUAAUACCGGAUAUGAGCUCCUGCUGCAUGGUGGGGGUUGGAAAGUUUCGGCGGUUGGGGAUGGACUCGCGGCUUAUCAGCUUGGUGGUGGGGUAGUGGCUUACCAAGGCUUUGACGGGUAGCCGGCCUGAGAGGGUGACCGGCGACAUGGGGACUGAGAUACGGCGCAGACUCAUACGGGAGGCAGCAGUGGGGAAUAUUGCACAAUGGGAGGAAGGCUGAUGCAGCAACGCCGCGUGCGGGAUGACGGCCUUCGGGUUGUAGACCGGUUGCGCCUGUGACGAAGCGUGAGUGACGGUAAUGGGUAAAGAAGCACCGGCUAACUACGUG